This 327-nucleotide RNase P RNA is filed under the name marine eukaryotic metagenome. Its description in RNAcentral is "Bacterial RNase P class A". It matches the Rfam family "Bacterial RNase P class A". Rfam says of the family: Ribonuclease P (RNase P) is a ubiquitous endoribonuclease, found in archaea, bacteria and eukarya as well as chloroplasts and mitochondria. Its best characterised activity is the generation of mature 5'-ends of tRNAs by cleaving the 5'-leader elements of precursor-tRNAs. Cellular RNase Ps are ribonucleoproteins. The record is from RNAcentral.
AGUUGACUAGACAAUCGCUGCCCUUUGAGGGGGGAGGAAAGUCCGGGCUCCAUAGGAUAAGGUGCCAGGUAACGCCUGGGAGGCGUGAGCCUACGGAAAGUGCAACAGAAAAUAUACCGCCUUUUUGAAGGUAAGGGUGAAAUGGUGUGGUAAGAGCACACCGCGCCAGUGGCAACGCUGGUGGCAGUGUAAACCCCACCUGGAGCAAGACCAAAUAGGAAUCCGUAUGCUGUUGUCCGCGGUUGGAUUCGGGUAGGUCGCUAAAGAUUCAUGGUGACGUGAAUCGUAGAUGAAUGAUUGUCCACGACAGAACCCGGCUUAUAGUCA